ACGCUCGACACCUACGGGAGGCAGCAGGUGGGGAAUAUUGCACAAGUGGGGGAAACCCUGAUGCAGCGACGCCGCGUGGAGGAAGAAGGUCUUCGGAUUGUAAACUCCUGUUGUUGGGGAAAAAGAGGAUGGUACCCAACAAGGAAGUGACGGCUAACUACGUGCCAGUAGCCGCGGUAAUCUGAGCGGGCUGGCAAGGC
This 200-nucleotide ribosomal RNA is filed under the name uncultured bacterium. RNAcentral describes it as "partial 16S ribosomal RNA". It matches the Rfam family "Bacterial small subunit ribosomal RNA", at positions 328 to 539 of the family's 1533-position model. The record is from RNAcentral.